AUGGACACCGGAUGCAAGCAGCACUCUAGCAUCCAGGGCAGCAGAAGGAACGCACACCGGCCUCUGGAGAGGUGGAUGCCCUUUAGCGACAGUUGGAGCCCACGCUUGGUGUCCCAAGACCUUAACAGCUGUCACAAUAAUUAUUAUCUUCACGCCAGAAAGGGCGGAGCAGCAAAGGCAAAGACCCGAGGUGUGGAGGGUGAGCAUCUGGUACAGCAGCUAAGACUCCACGUGGGACACCUACAUGGGAGUGUGCCUGGUUUGAGCCCUGGCUCCACUUCCCACUCCAGCUUCUUGCUGACUGAGAUCUGGGAGGCAGCAGGUGAUGGCUUACCUAGUUGGGUCCCUGCCACCCACAAGGGAGACUCGCACUGAGUUCUGAGCUCCUGGCUUCAGCCUGGCCCAGCCUCACCUAUUGAGAGCAUUAGGCAAGAGGACCAGAAGAUGGAAGAUCUCUGUGUAUCUCUCUCUGUCUUUCAAGUACAAUGAAAGUGAUUUUUUAAAAAAAUUUUUAAAGUAAGUAUAUUCCUUUUUCUAGUCUCUUGUUUUUUUCUUAUUAAUAUUACAUACAAAAUAGGUUGGAAAUAUUCCUGAGCAAAAAUAAUUUCAACCUGAGGCCUCCCAUGUACUUGACUUCCGUGACUUUAGUCCAUAGUCACAUGUUAAAUAAUGUCUCUAAAUUGCCUCCCUGUGUUGAACUUGGACCAUUUGUGUUUUAUCUAACAGAGGGAUAUUUGAGUUCAGCAAGGGGAACUACCUGUUAGGCCAUAGGUUGGUUUCAGAUGCUUUUCCAGCUUCCUGUGCCUCACAAUGUUUAGACAAUUAUUUGAACAGUUUAUUGCAUUUUGCCCUUAUGUCAUCAAAGGCGUAUAAAGGAGUAGGCAUUCAGCCUAGUGGUGAAAGUGUCCGUGUCCCAUACUGGAGUAUGUGGGUUUGGUUCCUUGAUCUGGAUUCUGACUCUAGGUUCCUGUCCAUGGGGUGCAAUGGUAAGGGCUCAAAUGACUGGGUUCCUGACAGCAAAGCGGGAGACUUGGAUUGAGUUUCCAACAUUUGGCUUUGGCCCCAGCCCAGACCCAGCCAUUGUUGGCAUUUGGGGAGUGAACCAGCAGAUGGGAGAGCUCUCCGUCUCUGUCUCCCUCCCUCUCUCAGAUAAAUGCAUUUUAAAGAAAUGUCUUACAAAGGCUAAAAUACAAAAGAACAGUGUUAAUAAUGGGACUUAGAAGCACUGGUCUCAUCAACUAACUACAACUGUGGCAGUCAGAAAGACGCAAACCAUCAGCUACCUGGCCACGUUUUAAAUGUAAACUGGUUAAUCCUUGUUCAGUUGUGAUGGGAAAAGGCAAACUUGAGAAGGAGUAAAAUGCUAGAACUGUAUUGUCAAAGAUUACAUCUACACAGUAUCUAAAACAUGCCACUAUUAUAUAUAUAUAAUUAUCUAUAUUAAAUGAUCAAAUCUUCCUUCUGACACAUAAUUCUAUUGUUCAAUGUUCACACAUUUGAUUUAAAUGCACAUUUUCACAAACUUGUACAUGAAAAGGGGACUCACUACCUCUCUUUAGCUUCCAAGUUUUCCAAUCUUGUGAUCUUAUGCAAACAGCUCAGUGUCUCCCUAACCCCAUCUGAUCCUUGUACUCCGAAACCUCCAAUGCUGCUGUGCCUCUCGCAGCUGACUGCAGCUCUCCCCCUCCAGCCCUUCUCACUAGUUGUACUCCCUUUGCUUCCUCCUAAAAUAUUAGCCACAUGUCUAGAUUAUUUUUCUUCUCAAAGUGCUCCUAAGUGCCAUUAAGCAAAGGGAUUAGAAAUGUCAUCCACAGAAAAAGAAGUCAGAAUUGGAAACAAAAAUAAUUCAUGUUGGCAAAUGCCCUCCAUCGCUUUGUAUUUGAUUACAUGUGGGUUAUUUCUUGCUCUGAGUCCUUAGGUCCUAGGAACUCAGAAUUCUUCCAUGUGGCAUGGUUUUGAGUAUCCUAUUGUAUGCAUCAAAUGUUACAUUAACAAAAUUUAGUGAAUAGUACACAUGGAAGACCCAGGUGCCAACCUAACAGUUGUCCUUAGUCUAUUAGUAAACAUAACAAAAUCUUGCUCAUUUUAGGCAGAGUAAUAGAAAAUCUAGUGUCCAUUUGUGAAAGGUCUGAAUUGGAGACGAUAUGUCAAAAGCCACAUCGCUGUGCCACUUUGAGAUACCUGUAGGAUCUUGGACACUAAGGGGAGCUUCCUGAGUAGAAGCCUCAGUUACAAACUUUAAUGGUCAAAUAACACUGUGGGUAGUUAGUAGGUUGUAUUUAUGUAUAAAGAGCAAAUGCACUUAUCUCCUUAAAACCGAUGUCUUCUUUUAAGAAGGCUAACAUCGUAACCACCACAACCACACCAUCAGAGCUCCCACUUAAGGGACUAAUUUGCUCUUUUGAUACAGCAGUCAGAGUUAUUCCUUCCAAGAAUGGUUUUCUUAGAGAUUUACAUUUUAAGUUAUUUUAAUCUCUAUCAUUAGAGUUACAAGCCUGACAAAUUUAGAAAGGGUUGGAAAGGGAUGCACUGAAUUAAAAUAGGAUGUGAUUUCAGCUGUGAAGGAUAGGGGCAGACAUCGUCCCAGGCUGCGGUAACCCUCAAUCUAUCACUGUGAAUUUAUCAUGAAUAAUUAGGCAGCUGUUUGUCAUAUCAUAAUGCGUAUGUAUGGGCCGUGGGGUUAGAAGAACAAAUCAGGAUUAUACUGAAAGUUUAUACCGAGAAUUUGUGGAUUUUGAAACAUUUACAUUCAGCACUUAAUUAAUGCCCUCUCUCCACUUCCCAAAUCUCAGGGCUAAAAUACAGGGAGAGUAAGUGCCAGGCAAAACCCACAAGAUUUAGAGUAAGACGACUUGUUUUUAUCUGGGACACACAGUACCAUGGGGUCUGGACAAGACAUGCAGCCUCUUUGAGGCUGGAACCAGGGUACAAAAUGAUAUCACCAACUCCAGAACAUUAUUUUGAGUAUUAAGAAAAUGCUUUGUAAACUGCUUAGUACCUUUCAAACACUAGCCUAAAAGUGCAAAAGUCAUUUAAUUUGCAAUUUAUUGCUUUAAAAUAGAAUGGCUCUUGUCUUGUCAUAGCAGAACACUUGCAAUCUUUUGAAAAGCGAAUAAUAAACUCUUGUACCCUGUUGUUGAUUUAUCA
Molecule: long non-coding RNA, 3147 nt
Organism: Oryctolagus cuniculus (rabbit)
Lineage: Eukaryota; Metazoa; Chordata; Mammalia; Lagomorpha; Leporidae
Source: Ensembl